This 1225-nucleotide ribosomal RNA is filed under the name metagenome. Its description in RNAcentral is "bacterial LSU rRNA". It matches the Rfam family "Bacterial large subunit ribosomal RNA", at positions 1718 to 2925 of the family's 2925-position model. The record is from RNAcentral.
CAAAAUGACACCGUAACUUCGCGAGAAGGUGUGCCCUUAUUACGUGAACCGAUUUACUCGGGGAGCGGACAGGGGUUGCAGAGAAUCGGGGGUAGCGACUGUUUACCAAAAACACAGCACUCUGCGAAGUCGCAAGACGACGUAUAGGGUGUGAUGCCUGCCCGGUGCUGGAAGGUUAAAGAGAGGAGUCAACGCAAGUGAAGCUCCGAACUGAAGCCCCAGUAAACGCGGCCGUAACUAUAACGGUCCUAAGGUAGCGAAAUUCCUUGUCGGGUAGGUUCCGACCUGCACGAAUGGCAUAACGACUUCCCCACUGUCUCAAGCAGGGACUCAGCGAAGUAGCACUAGGGGUGAAGAUACCCUUUACCCAUGACAGGACGGAAAGACCCCGUGAACCUUCACUAUAGCUUGACAUUGAUUUUCGAAGUAAUUUGCGUAGGAUAGGUGGGAGACUAUGAAACCAGGGUUCCGGCUUUGGUUGAGUCAACGUUGAAAUACCACCCUGAUUAAUUUGGAAAUCUGACCUACACCCGUCAGCCGGGUGGGGGACACUGUCUGGUGGGUAGUUUGACUGGGGCGGUCGCCUCCUAAAAAGUAACGGAGGCGCGCGAAGGUCCCCUCAGCCUGAUUGGAAACCAGGCGUCGAGUGUAAUGACAUAAGGGGGCUUGACUGCGAGUCCGACGAGACGAGCAGGUACGAAAGUAGGUCAUAGUGAUCCGGUGGCUCCAUAUGGAAGGGCCAUCGCUCAACGGAUAAAAGGUACUCCGGGGAUAACAGGCUUAUCACGUCCAAGAGUUCACAUCGACGACGUGGUUUGGCACCUCGAUGUCGGCUCAUCGCAUCCUGGGGCUGCAGUCGGUCCCAAGGGUUUAGCUGUUCGCUAAUUAAAGCGGUACGCGAGCUGGGUUCAGAACGUCGUGAGACAGUUCGGUCCCUAUCCGUCAUGGGCGCAGGACGCUUGAGAGGAGCUGACUUUAGUACGAGAGGACCGAGUUGGACGAACCGAUGGUGUUCCGGUUGUCACGCCAGUGGCAUUGCCGGGUAGCUAAGUUCGGACGGGAUAACCGCUGAAAGCAUCUAAGCGGGAAGCCCCCCUCAAGAUUAGGCGUCCCUGAACGCAAGUUCCUAAAGACCCCACGGAGACUACGUGGUUGAUAGGCAGAAUGUAGAAACACAGCAAUGUGUGGAGCUUACCUGUACUAAUCGGUCGUGAGGCUUGACCAC